This 498-nucleotide ribosomal RNA is filed under the name uncultured bacterium. RNAcentral describes it as "partial 16S ribosomal RNA". It matches the Rfam family "Bacterial small subunit ribosomal RNA", at positions 29 to 507 of the family's 1533-position model. The record is from RNAcentral.
ACGAACGCUGGCGGCGUGCUUAACACAUGCAAGUCGAACGGGCCCGCUCUCUUUUUUGGGGGUGGGUUGAGUGGCGAACGGGUGAGUAUCACGUGAGUAACCUGCCCCCUGCUCCUGGAUAACUGCUUGAAAGGGCGGCUAAUACGGGGUGUGCCGGCUGGUCCGCAUGGGCCUGGUCGGGAUAGUUUCAUCUUCGGGUGUUUCGGUGGGGGAUGGGCUCGCGGCCUAUCAGCUUGUUGGUGGGGUGAUGGCCCACCAAGGCGGUGACGGGUAGCCGGCCUGGGGGGGUGGGCGGCCACACUGGGACUGAGACACGGCCCAGACUCCGGCGGGAGGCAGCGGUGGGGGGUAUUGCACAAUGGGCGGAAGCCUGAUGCAGCGACGUCGCGUGAGGGAUGGAGGCCUUCGGGUUGUGAACCUCUUUCUCCGGUGGUGAAGGCCCUGUCCGUUGCGGCGGGGUUGACGGUAGCCGGGUAUGAAGCGCCGGCUAACUACGUG